UCGGUUCCUAAGGCGAGGCUGAAAAGCGUAGUCGAUGGGAAACAGGUUAAUAUUCCUGUACUUCUGGUUACUGCGAUGGAGGGACGGAGAAGGUUAGGCCAGCUUGGCGUUGGUUGUCCAAGUUUAAGGUGGUAGGCUGAAAUCUUAGGUAAAUCCGGGGUUUCAAGGCCGAGAGCUGAUGACGAGUCGUCUUUUGGAUGACGAAGUGGUUGAUGCCAUGCUUCCAAGAAAAGCUUCUAAGCUUCAGGUAACCAGGAACCGUACCCCAAACCGACACAGGUGGUCGGGUAGAGAAUACCAAGGCGCUUGAGAGAACUCGGGUGAAGGAACUAGGCAAAAUGGCACCGUAACUUCGGGAGAAGGUGCGCCGGCUAGGGUUAAGGAUUUACUCCGUAAGCUCUGGCUGGUCGAAGAUACCAGGCCGCUGCGACUGUUUAUUAAAAACACAGCACUCUGCAAACACGAAAGUGGACGUAUAGGGUGUGACGCCUGCCCGGUGCCGGAAGGUUAAUUGAUGGGGUUAGCGCAAGCGAAGCUCUUGAUCGAAGCCCCGGUAAACGGCGGCCGUAACGAUAACGGUCCUAAGGUAGCGAAAUUCCUUGUCGGGUAAGUUCCGACCUGCACGAAUGGCGUAACGAUGGCGGCGCUGUCUCCACCCGAGACUCAGUGAAAUUGAAAUCGCUGUUAAGAUGCAGUGUAUCCGCGGCUAGACGGAAAGACCCCGUGAACCUUUACUGUAGCUUUGCACUGGACUUUGAGCCUGCUUGUGUAGGAUAGGUGGGAGGCUUUGAAGCGUGGACGCCAGUUCGCGUGGAGCCAUCCUUGAAAUACCACCCUGGCAUGCUUGAGGUUCUAACUCUGGUCCGUAAUCCGGAUCGAGGACAGUGUAUGGUGGGCAGUUUGACUGGGGCGGUCUCCUCCUAAAGAGUAACGGAGGAGUACGAAGGUGCGCUCAGACCGGUCGGAAAUCGGUCGCAGAGUAUAAAGGCAAAAGCGCGCUUGACUGCGAGACAGACACGUCGAGCAGGUACGAAAGUAGGUCUUAGUGAUCCGGUGGUUCUGUAUGGAAGGGCCAUCGCUCAACGGAUAAAAGGUACUCCGGGGAUAACAGGCUGAUACCGCCCAAGAGUUCAUAUCGACGGCGGUGUUUGGCACCUCGAUGUCGGCUCAUCACAUCCUGGGGCUGAAGCCGGUCCCAAGGGUAUGGCUGUUCGCCAUUUAAAGUGGUACGCGAGCUGGGUUUAGAACGUCGUGAGACAGUUCGGUCCCUAUCUGCCGUGGACGUUUGAGAUUUGAGAGGGGCUGCUCCUAGUACGAGAGGACCGGAGUGGACGAACCUCUGGUGUUCCGGUUGUCACGCCAGUGGCAUUGCCGGGUAGCUAUGUUCAGAAAAGAUAACCGCUGAAAGCAUCUAAGCGGGAAACUUGCCUCAAGAUGAGAUCUCACUGGGAACUUGAUUCCCCUGAAGGGCCGUCGAAGACUACGACGUUGAUAGGCUGGGUGUGUAAGCGUUGUGAGGCGUUGAGCUAACCGGUACUAAUUGCCCGUGAGGCUUGAUC
This 1559-nucleotide ribosomal RNA is filed under the name metagenome. Its description in RNAcentral is "bacterial LSU rRNA". It matches the Rfam family "Bacterial large subunit ribosomal RNA", at positions 1384 to 2925 of the family's 2925-position model. The record is from RNAcentral.